Callorhinus ursinus (northern fur seal) is the source of this 928-nucleotide long non-coding RNA. RefSeq lists it as uncharacterized. The record is from RefSeq and is a predicted model, not a curated record. Lineage: Eukaryota; Metazoa; Chordata; Mammalia; Carnivora; Otariidae.
ACUUCCCUCCCUGCCUGCCACCCAGCUUUGGUCAUGGACUGAGAGCCUCCUUCACAGGGCAUGCUACCUACUGUGCUUUCAUGGGCUUGUGGAGUAUGGAUGGGUAUGUGGAGUAAGAUUUCUUUAAGCUGUCAUGAGAAUUGUCAUGGGAAGAAGUCUAUUGAUUAACACGGGAAGAAGAUAAUGAAUGGAACCCCGUUGACAUGAGAAGUAAGAAGGGCUAGAGGGGGCUCAGGAAGUGGGAGGAUUGCUCUUGACACUCCAAGUAUGACAUAGUGAAAACAUCACUAUACAGGGUCCUGGUCCCCCGGGGAACGAAUUGUGGGAUUCUGGGUAGGCCAUCUUAUCCCCAUUUAUAAGUUGUGCAAGUGGCAUUAGGUUAGUGGUUUUCAAACUAAGUCCUUAGACCAGAGGUCUCUCAUGGAAAAAUCAGUCUUGGCAGAGUCCUUCGAUAAUCAUCUCUAAUAUCAUACGUCAGCCUUCCUGUCUCCACAACCUGAGCAGAGGUUGGCAGCAGCUGUCGCAGUGUUCCACCGAAAUGCUGCCACUUUCUGAUGAUCCAGAUGAGUCUUCAGUUUCCUUGGCAACCCAAAAGACUUUACACGGUCACCUCAAUCUUCUUUGGGUGAUGUUCAACUAAAUAAAUAUCUCCGGAAGCUAAUUGUUAAGAAGUGACAAAAAUCUCUGCCGUGCUCACCAUCUAGUUCUUAAGACAGGAUGCAAAUGCCGCUUAAGACAAUCCUUUCCAAGCAGAUGAAUCAAUAAAAUAUGAAGACAAAAGUGCUCCAUCUUCUGGCUGAGGAUGAAUGUUCACCAGCAGAUAUUCCCAAUUCUAAAAGGAAGCACUUCAUCUCAGGGACCAGAUCCUGGAGAGAAUUAUUGAUGAAUCCCUCCAAUACCAUCAAGAAUAAAACAGCCUUCUCCUGGU